UGGUCUGUCACUGACGNUGAGGCUCGAAAGCGUGGGUAGCGAACAGGAUUAGAUACCCUGGUAGUCCACGCCGUAAACGAUGAGUGCUAGGUGUUAGGCCCUUUCCGGGGCUUAGUGCCGGAGCUAACGCAAUAAGCACUCCGCCUGGGGAGUACGACCGCAAGGUUGAAACUCAAAGGAAUUGACGGGGGCCCGCACAAGCGGUGGAGCAUGUGGUUUAAUUCGAAGCAACGCGAAGAACCUUACCAGGUCUUGACAUCCCGAUGCUAUUCUUAGAGAUAGGAAGUUACUUCGGUACAUCGGAGACAGGUGGUGCAUGGUUGUCGUCAGCUCGUGUCGUGAGAUGUUGGGUUAAGUCCCGCAACGAGCGCAACCCUUAUUGUUAGUUGCCAUCAUUAAGUUGGGCACUCUAGCGAGACUGCCGGUAAUAAACCGGAGGAAGGUGGGGAUGACGUCAAAUCAUCAUGCCCCUUAUGACCUGGGCUACACACGUGCUACAAUGGUCGGUACAACGAGUUGCGAGCCGGUGACGGCAAGCUAAUCUCUGAAAGCCGAUCUCAGUUCGGAUUGGAGGCUGCAACUCGCCUCCAUGAAGUCGGAAUCGCUAGUAAUCGCGGAUCAGCACGCCGCGGUGAAUACGUUCCCGGGCCUUGUACACACCGCCCGUCACACCACGAGAGUUUGUAACACCCGAAGUCGNUGAGGUA
RNAcentral lists this ribosomal RNA (707 nucleotides) under uncultured bacterium. RNAcentral's name for it is "bacterial SSU rRNA". It matches the Rfam family "Bacterial small subunit ribosomal RNA", at positions 730 to 1437 of the family's 1533-position model. The record is from RNAcentral.